UGAAAUAGCGACCGAAACAGUCGUGUCCCGUGA
Molecule: small RNA, 33 nt
Filed under: Bombyx mori (domestic silkworm)
Lineage: Eukaryota; Metazoa; Arthropoda; Insecta; Lepidoptera; Bombycidae
Description: ovarian small RNA-30552
Source: RNAcentral